GGUGAACGCUGGCGGCGUGCUUAAGACAUGCAAGUCGAACGAUCGUCUUCGGACGGUCGUGGCGCACGGGUGCGUAACGCGUAACUGACCUGCCCUCAAGUUCCGAAUAACCUUCCGAAAGGAGGGCUAAUACGGGAUGUGCUGUCCCCUCCUGUGGGGCCAGUAAAGGCUUGACCGCUUGGGGAUGGGGUUGCGUUCCAUCAGCUAGCCGGUCGGGUAAAGGCCUACCAUGGCACCGACGGAUAACCGGCCGGAGAGGGUGGCCGGUCACAGGGGCACUGAGACACGGGUCGCACUCCUACGGGAGGCAGGAGUUAGGAGUCUUCCCCGAUGGACGAGAGUCUGAGGGAGCGACGCAGGGUGAGGGAUGAAGGUUUUCGGAUGGUAAGCCUCUGAAUCAGGGACGAAAGGCACGGAAGCGGGAUGACGUAGCCGGAGUAAUAGCACCGGCUAACUACGUG
RNAcentral lists this ribosomal RNA (461 nucleotides) under uncultured bacterium. RNAcentral describes it as "partial 16S ribosomal RNA". It matches the Rfam family "Bacterial small subunit ribosomal RNA", at positions 28 to 507 of the family's 1533-position model. The record is from RNAcentral.